RNAcentral lists this long non-coding RNA (513 nucleotides) under Nicotiana benthamiana. Its description in RNAcentral is "long non-coding RNA (NBEN_LNC025919)". The record is from RNAcentral. Lineage: Eukaryota; Viridiplantae; Streptophyta; Magnoliopsida; Solanales; Solanaceae.
AGCAUUUUCGCGCGUAGCGCUUUAAAUUACUGCGCUAUACAUAACUUUUCAGUCAUCACAAUCUUCUUCAUUGUUGAGUUGUUUGGCUAACAAUAUUCCACAAAGCUGUAACCUUUUUACAAAUGUUCAACAGAACUCAAUUCUUACCUCACUUCUUCCAGUCAUCUAAAAAAUACCCACUUGAGAGUUCAACCAUUCUUGGCUCCAAUGACCAAGAGCAAUUCCAAAUACCAUCAUCAAGUGACUCACAGCUCAAAAUGGGUAGUGUUGUUUUGGAAGAUUAUGGCAUGAGCAGCCACAAUCUUGGACAUAAUUUGAGUGAGCUUCCUAAUCUCAUUUCUCCUGAACAUGCUGCAACAACAAGGAACCAGAACAAUAUUAUUCAUAGAUAUAUAAUUGAAAAGAAUAUGUAUAGUGCAAUUUUUUAAAGCGCUAUGCCGGAAAAUUCUAACACCAGCUAUAGCGCGAUUAUUUACCGUGCCAUACUUUAACAGCUAAAACACCAUUAAACUA